This 343-nucleotide unclassified non-coding RNA is filed under the name soil metagenome. RNAcentral's name for it is "partial contains 5.8S ribosomal RNA, internal transcribed spacer 2, and large subunit ribosomal RNA". The stretch from base 1 to 120 matches the Rfam family "5.8S ribosomal RNA", at positions 35 to 154 of the family's 154-position model. The record is from RNAcentral.
GAUGAAGAACGUAGCGAGAUGCGAUAAGUAAUGUGAAUUGCAGAAUUCAGUGAAUCAUCGAAUCUUUGAACGCACAUUGCGCCCGCUAGUAUUCUGGCGGGCAUGCCUGUCCGAGCGUCAUUUCAACCCUCAAGCCCCCGGGCUUGGUGUUGGGGAUCGGCGAGCCUCCGCGCCCGCCGUCCCCUAAAUCUAGUGGCGGUCUCGCUGUAGCUUCCUCUGCGUAGUAGCACACCUCGCACUGGGAAACAGCGCGGCCACGCCGUUAAACCCCCAACUUCUGAACGUUUGACCUCGGAUCAGGUAGGAAUACCCGCUGAACUUAAGCAUAUCAAUAAGCGGAGGA